UACGGAGGGUGCAAGCGUUGUCCGGAUUUAUUGGGUUUAAAGGGUACGUAGGUGGUCAAUUAAGUCAGUGGUGAAAUCCUGCAGCUCAACUGUAGAACUGCCAUUGAUACUGGUUGACUUGAGUAUAGACGAGGUAGGCGGAAUUUAUGGUGUAGCGGUGAAAUGCAUAGAUACCAUAAAGAACACCGAUAGCGAAGGCAGCUUACUAGACUAUAACUGACACUGAGGUACGAAAGCGUGGGGAGCGAACAGG
RNAcentral lists this ribosomal RNA (253 nucleotides) under uncultured bacterium. Its description in RNAcentral is "partial 16S ribosomal RNA". It matches the Rfam family "Bacterial small subunit ribosomal RNA", at positions 524 to 776 of the family's 1533-position model. The record is from RNAcentral.